CUUGUUGAAUAUCGAAUGGAGGCGGAGCUACUGCUUAUCACGUGUUUAUCGGUGGUGCUCUGUAACCCCGGAGAUAAGAUAGGCCACCUCUGUUCCCAGUUACUGCUCGGAUGUGACGCUGACUGCCGACUCUGGUCGCGGUUGUUGUGGUUCAGGUGGUUGUUGUGUGCGCUUCUGCAUGACGUCACCACAUUCAUGGUUUGGGCGUGUCGUAAGAGCCUGUCUUUGGUCCGCUGUUGGUUUCGGUCUCCUUUGUUUGCUGAGCUCAGGACAGUUGGACUAUGUACUACGUGCAACGGCAUUACACUCAAGCGGCAUCCGCAGGUCCGCUGCAGACUGGACUGCAUUCUGCUGCACAGCUACUUUGCAGCCAGGUAUCUAAUAAUUUAUAUUUGGUCAUUUGGACUAUGUACUACGUGCAACGGUAUUACACUCAAGCGGCAUCCGCAGGUCCGCUGCAGACUGGACUGCAUUCUGCUGCACAGCUACUUUGCAGCCAGGUAUCUAAUAAUUUAUAUUUGGUCAUUUGGACUAUGUACUACGUACAACGGUAUUACACUCAAGCGGCAUCCGCAGGUCCGCUGCAGACUGGACUGCAUUCUGCUGCACAGCUACUUUGCAGCCAGGUAUCUAAUAAUUUAUAUUUGGUCAUUUGGACUAUGUACUACGUACAACGGUAUUACACUCAAGCGGCAUCCGCAGGUCCGCUGCAGACUGGACUGCAUUCUGCUGCACAGCUACUUUGCAGCCAGGUAUCUAAUAAUUUAUAUUUGGUCAUUUGGACUAUGUACUACUUACAACGGCAUUACACUCAAGCGGCAUCCGCAGGUCCGCUGCAGACUGGACUGCAUUCUGCUGCACAGCUACUUUGCAGCCAGGAGAACCCGCUCCCUCAAUGCCCCCAGUCCCAUACAGCAGUUCGGCCCUUGCGGCCGGAUUAUGAAGAAUUCGGCUAUGGUUAUGACGAUACAAGACCCUGCCAGUCAGAGACUGACAUGGUACAAGCCACCUCUCACAGUCCUAGUCAUCAAGAAGGUGCGAGAUGUGUCAGUGCUCAGUCCAUUCGUCCAGCUUGUGCGCUGGCUUAUAGAGGAGAAGCGGAUGGUGGUGUUUGUGGAGCAGUCUGUGAUGGAUGAUUCACUGUUGCUGGGUAAUGCAGACUUCUCUGGCGUCAAGGAGAAGCUGAUGACGUUUCGCGAUGGCAAGGAUGAUCUCACAGACAAGAUAGACUUCAUAGUGUGUCUGGGAGGCGACGGGACGCUGCUCUACGCCAGUCUACUGUUCCAGCAAUCCGUGCCUCCCGUGAUGGCAUUCCACCUCGGCUCACUCGGCUUCCUCACACCCUUCGAGUUCGAGAACUUCCAGGAGCAGGUCACCAACGUGUUGGAAGGCCACGCAGCUCUCACACUGCGCAGUCGACUCCGGUGUAUCAUAAUGAGGAAGAAUGAGGAGGUAACAAAAGCCAAACCUCCGUCCAACCUUCUGGUACUGAAUGAAGUGGUAAUAGACAGAGGGCCAUCUCCGUAUCUCUCCAACAUCGAUCUGUUCCUGGAUGGGAAACACAUCACUUCAGUACAGGGCGACGGUCUGAUCGUGUCAACACCCACCGGUAGCACUGCGUACGCCGUGGCAGCCGGCGCCUCCAUGAUCCAUCCCUCCGUGCCCGCCAUUAUGGUCACCCCCAUCUGCCCCCACUCCCUCUCCUUCAGGCCCAUCGUAGUGCCGGCGGGCGUGGAGCUCAAGCCUGCGGGUGACGACAUCUAUUUACCCGGUGCCCAGCAUCUGCUCUCAGGACCAGAUCUCCGACUGGUUCGACUCUCUGGCCGAGUGCCUCCACUGGAACGUGCGUAAGCGGCAGAAACAUCUGGACGAACUGAGCGACCUGACCCAUUCAACCAGCAAUGACACGCUCGACUCACUUGACCACACGGAGCAGCUCGACAGCUAGAACUCUGUGUUUACAGGUCGUUGUGAGCGUGAGGGGACGCGGCGCGGCGCACCGAUACACUUUUGUAUUUUAUACAUGUAAUGUUAGUGUUUUAUAUUUAUUGAAUGUUGUUCUAUUUACUAUGGUGACUGGUGUAGAGGUAGAUAGUGUGUACGUGGCGAGUGUACGAGUGCGUGUGUGUGUGUGUGUCUGCGGGUGCGUGAGUACACUGAGAUGUGAUAUGUACAGUUCUCGUAGCGUCUAGGUAUAUUUUGUAUUUUGAUAUGAUCAAACUAAAAUAUAUUGAAAUAUUUUUUUACAUUUUAAUAGUUUUUACAGUUUCUCUUCGUGACAAAACGAUUGUUAAAAUUGAUAAAUUCUUCAUGGGAUAGGCAUUAUAUAAGGUUGUUAUUGAUUUAUUCAUGAGUUGUGAUAGAUUUUAAUACAUAUAUUUUAUAAAUAACUUAUUGUGUUACCAAACAAUGCUGUUCACCUGUUUUGGGGAAUGUAUUCAUUACUUGAUUUUACUUAAUAAGAAAUCUCUUUUAAUCCAGUGUUCAGAAAAAUAUAAUUUUGUUGAAUUGAGCGAACACGUGACAAUAACACAGUCAAUGCUGUCAGUUGUUGUCAACCAAAUGUACAGCAAUGCUAAACUUUUAAUUUUGCAACAGUGUUUAUUUUAAAUGCACAAAUUUAUUUAUUUUGAUAUUUUCACCCCGAGCUUAGCUUACUGCUUCUCUGGAAUGGGUGCGAUUAGAAAAAUCAGAGUUGUUUUCAAUAACAAAAUCAUGUUUUAAUAUAAUUAAAUGAUAUGAAAUAUUAGUUAUUACCAACUUUUGAAUUUCCCUUUUGAUUCCUAGACUUCAAGUUUAGUUCAGAGUAAACUAGUUAAACUUGAAUCACAAUGGAAGUAAUUUUAGAGUAUAUUUUAGUUUCAUUAGAAUUUAUAUGCUCAGAAUUUGUCAUAUUUGGAGAAAAUGUGUGAUCUGCUCUCAUUUUGGAUGUAAUUUUAUUUUAAGAUUAUUAUAAUGUACAAUUUUAAUAGUUUGAAAUAAUGUCAAUUGUCUACUUUAUUAAACCUGUGUCUGUACCUCAGAAGUUUUUUAUUGACUAUUUUUAAUAAAAUUACAUAAAUAUUUUA
RNAcentral lists this unclassified non-coding RNA (3068 nucleotides) under Homalodisca vitripennis (glassy-winged sharpshooter). RNAcentral describes it as "nAD kinase-like, transcript variant X10". The record is from RNAcentral. Lineage: Eukaryota; Metazoa; Arthropoda; Insecta; Hemiptera; Cicadellidae.